RNAcentral lists this ribosomal RNA (446 nucleotides) under uncultured bacterium. RNAcentral's name for it is "bacterial SSU rRNA". It matches the Rfam family "Bacterial small subunit ribosomal RNA", at positions 331 to 792 of the family's 1533-position model. The record is from RNAcentral.
CCAGACUCCUACGGGAGGCAGCAGUGGGGAAUAUUGCACAAUGGGCGAAAGCCUGAUGCAGCAACGCCGCGUGAAGGAAGAAGGGUUUCGGCUCGUAAACUUCUAUUAACAGGGACGAAAGAAAUGACGGUACCUGAAUAAGAAGCCCCGGCUAACUACGUGCCAGCAGCCGCGGUAAUACGUAGGAUGCGAGCGUUAUCCGGAUUCAUUGGGUUUAAAGGGUGCGCAGGCGGGCCUUUAAGCCGGCGGUGAACCCGGGGGGCCCACCCCCGCCGAGCCGUCGGAACUGGGGGCCUUGAGUGCGGCGGAGGCAUGCGGAAUGCGCGGUGUAGCGGUGAAAUGCAUAGAUAUCGCGCGGAACCCCGAUUGCGAAGGCAGCGUGCCGUGCCGCCACUGACGCUGAGGCACGAAAGCGCGGGGAUCGAACAGGAUUAGAUACCCGUGUA